RNAcentral lists this ribosomal RNA (415 nucleotides) under uncultured prokaryote. Its description in RNAcentral is "bacterial SSU rRNA". It matches the Rfam family "Bacterial small subunit ribosomal RNA", at positions 355 to 774 of the family's 1533-position model. The record is from RNAcentral.
UGAGGAAUUUUGCGCAAUGGGGGGAACCCUGACGCAGCAACGCCGCGUGGGUGAUGAAGGCCUUCGGGUCGUAAAGCCCUGUCGGGCGGGAAGAACGUCCCUUCGGGGAAUGACGGUACCGCCAGAGGAAGCACCGGCUAACUCCGUGCCAGCAGCCGCGGUAAUAAGGAGGGUGCAAGCGUUAUUCGGAAUUACUGGGCGUAAAGGGCGUGCAGGCGGGGGUGCAAGUCUGAUGUGAAAGCCCGGGGCUUAACCCCGGAAGGGCAUUGGAAACUGCUGUUCUUGAGUUCUGGAGAGGAAGGGAGAAUUCCCGGUGUAGAGGUGAAAUUCAUAGAGAUCGGGAGGAACAUCAGUGGCGAAGGCGCCCUUCUGGACAGCAACUGACGCUGAGACGCGAAAGCGUGGGGAGCAAACA